This 253-nucleotide ribosomal RNA is filed under the name uncultured bacterium. RNAcentral describes it as "partial 16S ribosomal RNA". It matches the Rfam family "Bacterial small subunit ribosomal RNA", at positions 524 to 776 of the family's 1533-position model. The record is from RNAcentral.
GACGGAGGGUGCUAGCGUUGUUCGGAAUUACUGGGCGUAAAGGGCGCGUAGGCGGCCUGAUAAGUCGGGUGUGAAAGCCCAGGGCUCAACCCUGGAACGGCAUCCGAGACUGUUGGGCUAGAGACCGGGAGAGGAGAGUGGAAUACCCAGUGUAGAGGUGAAAUUCGUAGAUAUUGGGUGGAACACCGGUGGCGAAAGCGGCUCUCUGGCCCGGUUCUGACGCUGAGGCGCGAAAGCGUGGGGAGCAAACAGG